Carassius carassius (crucian carp) is the source of this 195-nucleotide long non-coding RNA. RefSeq lists it as uncharacterized. The record is from RefSeq and is a predicted model, not a curated record. The transcript has 2 exons. NCBI's taxonomy places the organism in Eukaryota, Metazoa, Chordata, Actinopteri, Cypriniformes, Cyprinidae.
GCAAAGCUGAAUUUUCAGCAUCAUUACUCCAGCCUUCAGUGUCACAUGUAACAUCCAAAAUCAUUUUAAUAUGCUGAUCUGAAACAUUGUUUAUAUUUUUGAUGAAUAGAAAGUGAAAACCUAAAUGUCUUUACUGUCUCUUUUGAAUAAUUUAAUAUGUCCUUACUGAAUAUAAGCAUUAUUUACUAACUCAAA